Molecule: ribosomal RNA, 253 nt
Filed under: uncultured bacterium
Lineage: Bacteria
Description: partial 16S ribosomal RNA
Rfam family: Bacterial small subunit ribosomal RNA
Source: RNAcentral
UACGAAGGGGGCUAGCGUUGCUCGGAAUUACUGGGCGUAAAGGGCUCGUAGGCGGCCAACUAAGUCGGAUGUGAAAUCCCCAGGCUUAACCUGGGAACUGCAUCCGAUACUGGAUGGCUUGAAUCCGGGAGAGGGAUGCAGAAUUCCAGGUGUAGCGGUGAAAUGCGUAGAUAUCUGGAGGAAUACCGGUGGCGAAGGCGGCAUCCUGGACCGGCAUUGACGCUGAUGAGCGAAAGCCAGGGGAGCAAACGGG